Molecule: ribosomal RNA, 254 nt
Filed under: uncultured bacterium
Lineage: Bacteria
Description: partial 16S ribosomal RNA
Rfam family: Bacterial small subunit ribosomal RNA
Source: RNAcentral
CACGUAGGCACCAAGCGUUGUCCGGAUUUAUUGGGCGUAAAGAGCUCGUAGGCGGUUGAGUAAGUCGGGUGUGAAAACUCUGGGCUUAACCCAGAGCCGCCACUCGAUACUGCUAUAGCUAGAGUCCAGUAGGGGAGUGUGGAAUUCCCAGUGUAGCGGUGAAAUGCGCAGAUAUUGGGAGGAACACCAGCGGCGAAGGCGGCACUCUGGGCUGGUACUGACGCUGAGGAGCGAAAGCGUGGGUAGCGAACAGG